This 1366-nucleotide long non-coding RNA is filed under the name Sus scrofa (pig). RNAcentral's name for it is "lncRNA (ENSSSCG00070009265.1)". The record is from RNAcentral. Lineage: Eukaryota; Metazoa; Chordata; Mammalia; Artiodactyla; Suidae.
AGAUCGGAAAAGCACCUCCAAGUUAAUCACUGGGCGUGAUGGGUGUUCUGUUGUUGCUUUCUGUUUUCUACACCCUACGCUUCUCCACAGUCGACUUUGUGUGCCUGGAAGGGCUUUGCACAAGGGAAAGAUUGCGAGUUACGCAAAAUACGCAGAACACCCGUAGCUAGCAACGACUCCGAGGGCGCUGGGGGACCGCCCCAGGGUGACAUCCCUAAAUGAGCUCUGUCUUGGUAGACGCAGAAUCACCCUGGUAGCUCACCUGUUCAGGUUUCCGGGCUCCGCGCCUCCUUCCCCGCGUAAAGCCUGGAGGGGGUGCGCUUCGGAUAAAUUGGAAGUCGGGCCUAGGCGUCCCUCUGCGCAAUCUUGGGGAGGCCUGGCUUCCUUCUGGAAGAUGUGCCAGCCGAAAUCUCCGGAGUCCAACUAAGCCGAUUUCUGUUUGCUGGUCUCCCCUGGCGUCUCCAACUUCCUGGAGCAGGGGGGGCGGUAGCACAGAGCUCGAAGUGCGUUUUGCUCCAGCGGGAGGACGCCGCGGCGAGUAGGUGCCAGGCUUACUGCCCUAGGUGAAUGGCCAGGCAGGCUCUCCCGCCUAGUAGCCUUUCCUUCUCGGCGCGUCCUUUUUCCCUGCUAGCGUUGCCCGCGAGCCUCCAGGAGAUAGGACCUCGGCUUCUCACCCUAAGACAUUGAGUUUCCCUACGCGUCGGUCCUCCGCGCGCGCGGAAAAAGACAUCUGCCCACCUGCUGGUUAUUCGCCAAGUGAUUCAAGAAACCAGAACCCCGGGGCAGCGGGAAGGAAAAAAGAAAAAAAAAAAACAAAACCCAAACCCAGGAGGCGGCCACUGGUGCCACAGGUGCAGGUAGGAAGUUUGCGUUCCCGCCCUCCGGAGACGAGAUUGGACCAGGUCGCAUACGUGGCGCCAGCCUUGGGGUGUUUGAUUGGAGAAAGGCUGUGGUGCGCCGCUUGCGAGUCGGAGUCCUGAAAGAAGAAAGCGUAGAGGAGAGAGGAGGCCAGGAUACCGAGGCUGUAGGUGGGCUCCGAUCUGGAAGUCUGUGCAUAGCCGCUGCACCCAAGGAGUCCAAAUCCAGCCCUGAGCUGGAAGUGAGGUGUACCUGUGGACUGUAUCAAGGUUCAGGAGGCUUUUGCUCUCAGACCCAUAUGGGUACCUUUCAUUGGUUGAACAGAAAGUCUUUGACGUGGGGCAUUUUCACUAAUGAAGGCAGAGGUGCAACCAGCUGCAUCUUCCAGGAUGCCUCUCUUUCUCAAAGAAGUACUUUGAUGUUCCCCGAGCUCAUGGACCAAUCGAAGGACUGGAUAUGAAGCAACUGACAUCCCAGCCUCUUCAGGACUUUCUGAGGUGGUGCAAGU